UACGGAGGGAGCUAGCGUUGUUCGGAAUUACUGGGCGUAAAGCGCGCGUAGGCGGUCAUUCAAGUCAGAGGUGAAAGCCCGGGGCUCAACCCCGGAACUGCCUUUGAAACUAGAUGACUAGAAUCUUGGAGAGGUCAGUGGAAUUCCGAGUGUAGAGGUGAAAUUCGUAGAUAUUCGGAAGAACACCAGUGGCGAAGGCGACUGACUGGACAAGUAUUGACGCUGAGGUGCGAAAGCGUGGGGAGCAAACAGG
Molecule: ribosomal RNA, 253 nt
Filed under: uncultured bacterium
Lineage: Bacteria
Description: partial 16S ribosomal RNA
Rfam family: Bacterial small subunit ribosomal RNA
Source: RNAcentral